UCGGAAUGAAUUCUGCUGUUUCUAACUUUUUGUCUGAGUUUUUUUUUUUUCGCAUUAAAGAACAGAAACUGAUUUGUUAAAGAACUGUUCGAAGAAAAAUAUAACAUAUACUGUGUAAAGUAUCUCUACACUAUUACAUCACUCCUUAUAUAUUUGUAGGUAAACUUUCAGAUUUGUAAUCUUAAGAUUAAGAUAAGUUACCUGUUACAAUAGAUAAAUGUGACACAAUUCCUUAGAAUAAGGAUGUGUAUACCUUACGAGUUUAAGUUCUAUGCACCGUCAGUGCACAAAAUAUUCUACACUAUCAGUUAACUUGACCUGAUAUUGCAGGUUACCAAUUAUUUACAUAGAACUUUUUAAAAAAAAUUAGAUAAGCUACAAUAGCAAGUAAAGUUUACCUGAUAGUGUAGAAUAUUUUGUACACUGACGAUACACAAAACUUAAAUUCAUACGUUAAACUAAUCAAAAAUUUAUUUCAUCUGCAUAAGGGCGAAAAAGGUUGUCCAAAGCAGGCAACUCUAAUUUCAGUAAGUUAUCAAUACGAGAACUAGGAAUACUAUUAUAAGCAAUAUUGGGUUUGAACUUUGACAUUGUCAGAUGGCCAGAAUUUUGAUCUGGCACCAAUGCUGCUGCAUCCUUGCCUGUUAGUUUCUGAACUACUGACUUGAAAUUCCUAGCAUCUGUCUCUAUAUACUCCGUGUUGAUUAUCACCACCUUCACCUUAUCCCUGCUGUUUUUGUCUGUUGACAUGUUUUUUGGUUAUUUUUUCUUACUUCUUCUAGCAAUUGAUAGUUAGACUUCAAACUAGUUGAGCCACUAAAUUUCAGAUAUCUAAUACUUGAAUCAAAAGACUACUAGUUUGAAUGCGAAGGUAAUCUCAAGCUAAGAUUCUGCUCGUGAGCGUAAUAGUAUAAGUACUGACUGCGAGACCGACUACUAAUCGACCAGAGACGAAAGUUGACCAAUACUUUUCUAGUCUUUUCUAGAAAGAUUGACUCAACAAAUAAUACAACACUGAAUUGACGAAUUAUUUCAGAAUAUAGAAAUAUCGAAAACGUAGAAGGCAAAUUUGCUCUUGGAUCUUGGAUCUUGGAUACGUGGAUAUAUGGCUAUGAAGAAAGAAAGGGGUGUUGGUGUUGAU
RNAcentral lists this long non-coding RNA (1141 nucleotides) under Capsicum annuum. Its description in RNAcentral is "long non-coding RNA (CANN_LNC013758)". The record is from RNAcentral. Lineage: Eukaryota; Viridiplantae; Streptophyta; Magnoliopsida; Solanales; Solanaceae.